RNAcentral lists this ribosomal RNA (154 nucleotides) under Plasmodiophora brassicae. Its description in RNAcentral is "5.8S ribosomal RNA". It matches the Rfam family "5.8S ribosomal RNA". From Rfam's summary of the family: 5.8S ribosomal RNA (5.8S rRNA) is a component of the large subunit of the eukaryotic ribosome. The record is from RNAcentral. Lineage: Eukaryota; Endomyxa; Phytomyxea; Plasmodiophorida; Plasmodiophoridae.
CUCUUAGCAAUGGAUAUCUUGGUUCUCACAACGAUGAAGAACGCAGCGAACUGCGAUACGUAGUGCGAAUUGCAGAAUUCAGUGAAUCAUCAAAUCUUUGAACGCAAGUUGCGCUUCCGAGAUACCCUUGGAAGCAUGCCUCUUUGAGUGUCGG